Molecule: ribosomal RNA, 517 nt
Filed under: Ancistrocerus dusmetiolus
Lineage: Eukaryota; Metazoa; Arthropoda; Insecta; Hymenoptera; Vespidae
Description: partial small subunit ribosomal RNA
Source: RNAcentral
UUAAACUAUUAUAUAAAAGUUAAUUAAUUCAAUAAAAAUAAGAUAGAAAUAUAAGUAAUUUAUAUAAAAAAAUUAAUUUUUAAUGGUGAAAUAUAAAAAAUUAUAAAUUUAUAUAAUUAAAUUUAAUAUAAUUUAAAAAUUUAUAAAAUAAACUAGGAUUAGAUACCCUAUUAUAGUAAAAUAAAAAUUUUAAUAUUAAAGUAAUAAAUGUUAAAUCAUUAAAUUUAUAAGAUUUGGCGGUAUUUUAUACAAAUUAGGGGAACUUGUUUAGUAAUUGAUGAACCACGAUAAGAUUUACUUAAUUUAAUAUUUAUGUAUUGCUGUUUAAAAAUGUAUUUUAAGAAUAUAAAUUAUAAUUUAAAAAUAUAAAAUAAUUCAAGUCAAAAUAUAGUUUAGUUAAGAUAUAAUGAGUUACAAAAAAAUAAAUUUAUAUGGAUUUUUAUAUUUAAAAAUAAAAUGAAGGUGGAUUUAAGAGUAAAAUUAAUAAAUAAAUUAAUUUGAAACUUUGUUUUAAAAU